GGGGGUAUAGCUCAGUGGUAAAGUACUUGCCUAACAUGCAUGAAGCCAUGGGUUCUAUCCCCA
Molecule: transfer RNA, 63 nt
Filed under: Heterocephalus glaber (naked mole-rat)
Lineage: Eukaryota; Metazoa; Chordata; Mammalia; Rodentia; Bathyergidae
Rfam family: tRNA
About the family: Transfer RNA (tRNA) molecules are approximately 80 nucleotides in length.
Source: Rfam by way of RNAcentral